UGGCGGACGGGUGAGUAACGCGUGGAUAACCUGCCUCACACUGGGGGAUAACAGUUAGAAAUGGCUGCUAAUACCGCAUAAGCGCACAGGGCCGCAUGGUCUGGUGUGAAAAACUCCGGUGGUGUAAGAUGGACCCGCGUCUGAUUAGGUAGUUGGUGGGGUAACGGCCCACCAAGCCGACGAUCAGUAGCCGACCUGAGAGGGUGACCGGCCACAUUGGGACUGAGACACGGCCCAA
This 238-nucleotide ribosomal RNA is filed under the name uncultured bacterium. Its description in RNAcentral is "partial 16S ribosomal RNA". It matches the Rfam family "Bacterial small subunit ribosomal RNA", at positions 96 to 334 of the family's 1533-position model. The record is from RNAcentral.